CUGUCGGCCUCGGUCGGACGGCAGGCUCGGGCCUUUCUGCCUGGGGACUCCGUCACACUUAACUGUGGGGCGGUUGGACGCAGGCCGUUUACUUUGAAAAAAUUAGAGUGUUCAAAGCAGGCCUACGCUUGAAUACAUUAGCAUGGAAUAAUGGAAUAGGACUUUGGUGCUAUUUUGUUGGUUUAUGGGACCGAAGUAAUGAUUAACAGGGACAGUUGGGGCCGUUUAUAUUUCGUUGUCAGAGGUGAAAUUCUUGGAUUUACGAAAGAUAAACUUCUGCGAAAGCAUUCGGCAAGGAUGUUUUCAUUGAUCAAGAACGAAAGUUAGGGGAUCGAAGACGAUCAGAUACCGUCGUAGUCUUAACCAUAAACUAUGCCGACUAGGGAUCAGUGGAUGUCAAUUUGCGACUCCAUUGGCACCUUGUGAGAAAUCAAAGUUUUUGGGUUCCGGGGGGAGUAUGGUCGCAAGGCUGAAACUUAAAGGAAUUGACGGAAGGG
This 497-nucleotide ribosomal RNA is filed under the name Rhodomonas sp. RCC5310. RNAcentral describes it as "SSU rRNA". It matches the Rfam family "Eukaryotic small subunit ribosomal RNA", at positions 661 to 1164 of the family's 1831-position model. Lineage: Eukaryota; Cryptophyceae; Pyrenomonadales; Pyrenomonadaceae. The record is from RNAcentral.